RNAcentral lists this ribosomal RNA (425 nucleotides) under uncultured bacterium. Its description in RNAcentral is "partial 16S ribosomal RNA". It matches the Rfam family "Bacterial small subunit ribosomal RNA", at positions 354 to 796 of the family's 1533-position model. The record is from RNAcentral.
GUGGGGAAUCUUGCGCAAUGGGCGAAAGCCUGACGCAGCCAUGCCGCGUGAAUGAUGAAGGUCUUAGGAUUGUAAAAUUCUUUCACCGGGGACGAUAAUGACGGUACCCGGAGAAGAAGCUCCGGCUAACUUCGUGCCAGCAGCCGCGGUAAUACGAAGGGGGCUAGCGUUGCUCGGAAUUACUGGGCGUAAAGGGCGCGUAGGCGGACAGCUUAGUCAGAGGCGAAAGCCCAGGGCUCAACCUUGGAAUUGCCUUUGAUACUGGCUGUCUUGAGUUUGGGAGAGGUGAGUGGAACUCCGAGUGUAGAGGUGAAAUUCGUAGAUAUUCGGAAGAACACCAGUGGCGAAGGCGACUCACUGGCCCAAUACUGACGCUGAGGCGCGAAAGCGUGGGGAGCAAACAGGAUUAGAUACCCCAGUAGUCC